This is a long non-coding RNA of Aethina tumida (small hive beetle), 1706 nucleotides long. RefSeq lists it as uncharacterized. The record is from RefSeq and is a predicted model, not a curated record. The transcript has 2 exons. Lineage: Eukaryota; Metazoa; Arthropoda; Insecta; Coleoptera; Nitidulidae.
UUUCAAAAUAAUUAGGGUAAAGUUAAGAAAAUGUCCAACAAGUAGCAGGAAGCUAAAAAUUGUUGUAAAGAUAUACAGAAACGUAGGACAUAUUUGAAUUAUGGAGGGAAAAACUUUGGUUGCAAUGCCUUCUUAGAAAACAAGUCUCCUAUGGAAAAAUUAUUGGUUGCCAUGGUUACACAUGAAGUAACAAACAUUUGUUGAUCAGAACCAAGAAGUGUAAUUGCCAGUUGUUCCAGUAAAUGGUUGCUCAACAUGUGCCACCUCAUGAAAGUCUUGCACUAAACAUGAACAAAGCAAAGUGUGACCAGACCUCAAGAAAUAUCAGGAAGCUAAAAGUGGUUAUGAGGACAUACAGAAAUAGAAGAAAUUCGAUUUAUGUACGGAAAUAUUAGACUUGUAGAUUGCUAUGGUUAUUUAUAGAGUAACAAACUGAUAAUUUUUUGAGAGGGUGUAUUGAGGAUUUUUACAAUAUACUUUCCAACUUUUUCGUCAUACCUGUAUUAUGAAUAACUGCUUAGGUUUCAUUUUGAUUGCUCAAAAGUUAAACAAGCAGAUUGUAAUCUAAGUAGUUGUACAUAAUUAGAUAUGACGGCGAACGCGGAAAGUCUAUUGAAAAAUUCUUCAAAUACACCCUCUCAAAAUAAUUACGUGAAAUUUUUUAAAUUCCCAUUAAUUAUUUUGGGAGGAUGUAUUGAGGAAUUUUACAAUAUACUUUCCAACUUUUUCGUCACAUCAUCUUUAUUGUUCAUGAGGGCUUAGCUGUCAUUUUGCUUGUUUAGAAACUAAACAAGCACAAUGUAGGCUAAGCCUUCAUGGACAUUAAAAAGAUAUGACGGCAAACUAGGGACAGUCUAUUGAAAAAUUCUUCAAAUACACCCUCUCAAAAUAAUUACGUGAAAUUUUAAAUUCCCAUUAAUUAUUCUGGGAGGAUGUAUUGAGGAAUUUUACAAUAUACUUUCCAACUUUUUCGUCACAUCAUCUUUAUUGUUCAUGAGGGCUUAGCUGUCAUUUUGCUUGUUUAGAAACUAAACAAGCACAAUGUAGGCUAAGCCUUUAUGGACAUUAAAAAGAUAUGACGACAAACUUGGGACGGUCUAUUGAAAAAUUCUUCAAAUGCACCCUCUCAAAAUAAUUACGUGAAUUUAAAUUUUCAUUAAUUUUUUGAUCGGGGUGUGCUGAGGACUCUUUCAAUAUACCUUUCAGUUGUGUAGUCGUAUCUUUCAUGUGUAGGAUUGGAAGUUAGGCAAUUGUGCACGUUAAAGAUAUGACGGCUCAAUUGGGAGGUGUAUUGAAAAGUCUUCAAAUGCACCCCCUCAAAAUAAUUACGUGUAUCUAAAUUUUCGUUAAUUUUUUUGAAGGGGUGUAUUGAGGGAUUUUACAAUACACUUUCCGUUUUUGUCAUCAUAUCAUCUUCAAUGUGUAGAAUUGCUUAGCUUUCAAUUUCUUGUUUAGAACUUAAACAAGUAGAUUGGAAGUUAAGCAAUUGUGCACAUUGAAAAGAUAUGACGACAAUCGAGGACAGUCUAUUGAAAAAUUCUUCAAAUACAUUUCUCCCAAAGUAAUUACCAGCAAUUGACAAGCAACCGUCAGAAAGUUGAAUUUAAACUGAAUCUAGAAAUACGAAUUUGGACUGGAAAAUUUUAUGACAAACAAAUGAAAUGUGAACCAUUUUCAAAUAAAACAAUAAAAUACAAUUUACCAUA